GCGUCCUGACCAAACCCGGAGGGGAUCCUCCCGAGGCCCUUCACCCCGAGGAGCCAGUCCUGCAGCUGCCCUGACUCCUGGGGCUGGCGGCUGAGGCCCAGAGCCUGGGCAGGAGGCCAGGGGCAGAAAGGGAGGCCGCAGCCGGGGCCGGUGGCCUGAGGAGUGCGGGCCGGAGGCCUUCCCUAGGAGGACUCCGCUGACAGGAAUGGGAGCCAUGAAAGAGAAGAAAAUGGUCAAGAAAGGAAGCUUGCAUGGUCAUUAGAGAACCUUCACUCUGUUGGAUCACUCCAUCUGGGGGAAAUCAGCCACCAUGCUCUGAGGAUACUCAAGCAACCCUGUGGAGAGGUACACGUGCUAAGGAACUGAGGCUGCCCACCAACUUGCCGACCAUGUGGGUCGGCCAUCUUGGAAGUGGACCCUCCAGCUCCAGUCAAGUCUUAAGAUAGAAGCUGCACUGCAGCCCCAGCCAACAUCUUUACUGCAACCUCCUUAGAGGCACUGAACUGGAACCACUCUGCUUAGCUGCUCCUGAAUUCCUGACCCACAGAAAACUAUAUGAGAUAAUCAAUGUUUACUAUUGUUUUAAGCUGCUAAGUUUUGGGAAAACCUGUUGUGUAGCCAUAAAGCAUACACAGACCAUGGGGUUAUUCAUAGUAACUGUUCAGUAAAUGCCAGCCGGUGUUAUUCCCUUGACUGUGAAAAUCUUAGCCACGGUGUUUUUCAAGUGUCUGUCAUGUGCCAAGUAUGUGCCAUAUGCUGGGCAUAUGGGCUCCUAUCUCUGUGCCAUCAAUUUUCAGCAAGGCCUAGAGUGUUGGGGGCAGUCACCCCAAAUCCUAGACUCUUGGGGUUGAAAGACCCAGAGCUAUCGUUACUCAACCCAACUCUCAUUUUCAAGAUGAGCAAACUGAGACACAGAGUUCGUGUAACCCACCGUAGGUAUCGGAGCUGAUAUAGAAGAGCCUGAACUAGAACCCAGAUCCACUGGUGCCUGGGCAGCCCUUUUGUUGUUGCUCUGCCUUCUAAUAAGGGGCCAUUGCAUCUUACAGUUUAUAAAGCCCUUUCAGUAUUUUAUUUUGGGAUCAUCAAUGCAGAGCCCCCUCCAGACCCUAUUGGUAUCCAUAUCCCUAGGGCAGUCUAUUUCUCUAAAGGCCACCCACUCCCCAGAGCCCUUAUAGCUGCCCACAAUGGCUGUCUGGACCUGGAAACAACAGGAAGAGGCCUGUGGGGCUCCCGGCCCUGAGUGGUGAGAUCCUGAAAACACUCUGCUCUUCUUCCAUGGCACGUGGGCUUUACCCUGGCACCUGGGUCGUUGCAUCACAACCCCAGAUCCCACUGAUCUGCCUCUGCCAACUGUUUGGUCUUUAGCUUCUGGAUAAAGGACCUAUCGGUUUGAUCCUGUGAUUUGGGAUGACUCUUUGUUGAGGAUGACACUGAAGCAUGUGACAGAGAGCUCAAGCUGUAAGAAAAACAGUCUUCGUCCCCCACCCCCACCCCCCUCCCCCAACUUCUGAGGGUGUUCAGGCACCACAGAGGCUCCAGGGGAAAUCCAGAGGAAGAGGCAGGGCAGAUCCACCCUCUGGGACAGUCAUAGGGGCCAGGACAAGAACGGUACAUGCAUGGAAGGGAUCCAUGGUGUACCAAGGAAACAUUUAAGCAAGCCCAAGCUUUGCGGAAAUGAAAGGGGAAACGGAGGAUUGCUUCCUCUCCAGCAUCGCCACCCCCAGGCCUGUGUCAACCAGUCACCCACCUCUGGAAGUCUUCUUCUGAGAACCAGGCCACUGAGGACAUGGGGACCCUCGGGGAUCAUUUCUUAAUGAUUGAUCCAUUUGGCAAACAAGAAACUGAAGGUGGGUGUGCCUGGCUGGGCAUCACAUUGCUGGUCUCUGGCAGUUUUCUCCUCCAACCAAGAGGUCUCAAAAUCUCAGGUUUCCAGAAAGUUCCCUCUCUAGUGACAGUCAAAAACAGCACAGACUUUGGGGUUAAAUCAUCCUUUCAGCUCUGCCUACACUAACUACGGGACUUAGGGAAACUCCAUAAUCAAUCUGUGCCUCAGUUUCCUCAUCUGUAAAAUGGGGAUAAGUAUGACCUACUCAUGGUUGUUGUGAGGACUGAAUGAAAUAGUACCAUGAAGCUUUUAGUAGAUGCCCAGACUCUUGCAAGCAGUAUAUCAAUCAAAAAUAGUGUAAUAAUUGGGAAUGCAAGCUGGUGCAGCCACUCUGGAAAACAAUAUGGAAGUUCCUCAAAAAACUGAAAAGAGAACUACCCUAUGACCCAGCAAUUGCACU
Leopardus geoffroyi (Geoffroy's cat) is the source of this 2285-nucleotide long non-coding RNA. RefSeq lists it as uncharacterized. Lineage: Eukaryota; Metazoa; Chordata; Mammalia; Carnivora; Felidae. The transcript is spliced from 3 exons. The record is from RefSeq and is a predicted model, not a curated record.